AUUGCAUUUCCAACCAACCUAUCACUCAUUAACGAACUUCCAAAAUAUGUGACUCCUUUUCUAGCCGAUCUCAAAUUAAAUGUUCUAACUAAGGAUUUAAGGCUUAAAAAUAAUGGAUUAAAGGUUCUAUCUAUCUUUUCCCAUCCACACCUAUAAGAGAGAUUGAAGACUUAUCUUUCUUGCAUCUUUUUUCUAGAUUCUACCC
RNAcentral lists this long non-coding RNA (205 nucleotides) under Physcomitrium patens. RNAcentral describes it as "long non-coding RNA (PPAT_LNC012950)". The record is from RNAcentral. Lineage: Eukaryota; Viridiplantae; Streptophyta; Bryopsida; Funariales; Funariaceae.